GUUUGAGUUUUGGGUAUAAAAGACGAUGAAGAUGAGGCAAAUGAAGGAAACCCCCAUGUAAACAAUGGCGAAGAUUCGAUCGAUGUUUGUUUCUGGGUAGAGAUAGGAAAAGUAAUCGAUUGCUGUGACGAAGGCGUUCCAUGGAAGGAGAGGUAGAGCGAAUGGAAAAUGGGAUUCUGGUGAAAUGGCCAGAAAGAGGAACUCAAGGUUAGUGCAUUUCAAAGGUGGUGGUUGAAGCGAGUGAUGGACACUCGGACGAUGGCCACAAGUAACGGAGAAAGGAAGGUAUGAAGGUAGGUGCAUGGGGGAGAAACGAGUGCAAGGAUGGGACUAACAGAGAAAGUAACGAUCGCGAUCAAGGUGUUAUAUGACACAAAAGGUUAAUAUGCAUUAUGUUUAGAAUCCAUUUCAUUCGACAUUAUGACGCAAGGUAGAUUAGGUCAUUUGUAUAAAAAAAAAGAAACUCUAUUGUAGAGGGGUGCUACUUGCCUUCUUAGGAUAUAACCCAAUUAAUUAUUUCAACAAGCAAAAGGUUGUAUUAUAUAUCGAAUUAGUCAAGGUAGGAGAGGCAUUUCAAACGAGCUUUAAUUUGAGAAGUCAAGAAAGGAUCUAUUUUAUUUAUUUCUGAAA
This is a long non-coding RNA of Cucumis melo (muskmelon), 630 nucleotides long. RefSeq lists it as uncharacterized. The transcript is spliced from 2 exons. The record is from RefSeq and is a predicted model, not a curated record. Lineage: Eukaryota; Viridiplantae; Streptophyta; Magnoliopsida; Cucurbitales; Cucurbitaceae.